AGCAGUCGCCGCGGGAAUACGAAGGGGGCUAGCGUUGCUCGGAAUUACUGGGCGUAAAGGGCGCGUAGGCGGACAGUUCAGUCGGGGGUGAAAGCCCGGGGCUCAACCUCGGAAUUGCCUUCGAUACUGGCUGUCUUGAGUAUGAGAGAGGUGUGUGGAACUCCGAGUGUAGAGGUGAAAUUCGUAGAUAUUCGGAAGAACACCAGUGGCGAAGGCGACACACUGGCUCAUUACUGACGCUGAGGCGCGAAAGCGCGGGGAGCAAACAGGAUUAGAUACCCCAGUAGUCCCUGUCUCUUAUAC
RNAcentral lists this ribosomal RNA (303 nucleotides) under uncultured bacterium. RNAcentral describes it as "partial 16S ribosomal RNA". It matches the Rfam family "Bacterial small subunit ribosomal RNA", at positions 507 to 807 of the family's 1533-position model. The record is from RNAcentral.